GCUCUCCUCACGCAUCUCUGAGCUGCUGGCUGGCUGGCUGCUCAGACACCUCGGUUCUUCUCCACAGGGCCCCUCACCUUUCUGAAGGCUUCAAUUUGGAAGAAUCUAAGAUAAUACUCAAGUUAAUUUUAUGUUGUGUGGAUAAAAGGUGGUCUUUGAAAAUAGCUGCAGGAUAAGCCAUAGUUGGAAAAUUUACAACUCAAUGUGAAAAUCAGGAAAUGAACUUUCCAACAUUUAAUUACUUGAUAAACCUUCAAAUACUUGAGAGAGAGUUCCAGUGGAAGAAACCAUUUUGUUGUGUACAGUAAUUCAGGAGUUUGAAAAGGACUGGCAAAGGGGCAUGCAGUGCAUACAAGGACAAUGGAAUUGGCUGGCUGAUAUUAAGUUACAUUGACAUCCUACUGCAAAUGAAAAGCAGAACCAUUAAUAAAAAAUUGAAAACUAAGUGUGAAGGUCGAGGGCCUUUUGGAGGCUUAAAAAUAAACCCUUGUCUGCUGCUGUGGGAGAGCAGGAAAAUGUGAAGACUAAAACUUGGGAUUUAAUAUGUAGAAUCCCUGAGCUUCAAAGACCCACGGCAUGUACAGCUGAGGAGAGUCCGUUAUGCCGAAGGUAUGGUUCUGUUUCAAAUAUUUGGGCACUUUAGGACAUGGCAUGGGGGUGUCUGGAUGCAUGACACCCAAGAUUUUGGCUUCCCUGCCUUUUAAACCCUAAGUUUACUGAAGAGAUUGAUCCUUUCUUAAUGAGACCUGUCACUUUCCUUGAGUAAAAAGCCACUGAAGAGCAGUCUCUCUCACAACAUAAAAGGUUCUGCCCCCUUAAGAUCUUUUCCCAACCCCUGGGCCACUGCCAAUUGUAGCAUAAUUUGGCCAGGCAUAUGCUAGACCUGAUGAAGGAGAGAGAGUCCAUGACACAAAGGAGGUAAACAAGUUAGCCAGCACAUUUCAUCAG
Sus scrofa (pig) is the source of this 948-nucleotide long non-coding RNA. RefSeq lists it as uncharacterized. The record is from RefSeq and is a predicted model, not a curated record. NCBI's taxonomy places the organism in Eukaryota, Metazoa, Chordata, Mammalia, Artiodactyla, Suidae.